CCGCUCAGAGUAUAAGCCAAUGGAGCUUGGAAGGCUUCCGCAGAUGGUGUCCAUCAUACGUGGUGUUCUUAAGACCUUGAGUCUCGCUCGUCAGGCGUAGCAUUGAGUUUGCCAGGUUAGCUGUCGUGCGGGGGUUCGGCUUGGAGGUCUCAGGCUUCGGCCGAAGGGCUUCCGGCUGUCCCCUUUGGAAUGGUCGUUCAGAGCUCUUGUGUCUAAUGCGGUUAUGCCCACCACAGCACGUUGUGAGGUCACCCACAGGCUCAAACUGCCGAUCGCGCAUCCAGGACGAUGGCAACGAUGCGUUGUUGGCGCGUGUGCGGGAGCGAGUCGCUCCACGCCGCCACACGCGUGUCUAGUCCUGGGUCGGGCGGCGACCGAGAUAAACCUGGUACGAUCCUCUUGCGACGAGCUGCUUUCUGGCCAGACCGACGCCCAGUCGCCUCCACUGUGCCGGAAGCGUCAACCCCAGGCGGUGUGAACCCAGCUGCAUUAAGUAAGGUCUCUCAGCCGGGCGUUGGUCUGAGUGGUGUUAAGUCCAGCACCAUCGGUCACGUCUCGAAACACGGGCCAAGGAGUAUAGCAUGUGUGCAAGUCUAAGGGUCUCACAAAACCCGAAGGCGAAGUGAAAGCAAGACUGUGGCGGGGGAGCUACGGCGAACCCGCCGGCCUAGUGCGGCGCCUCGUGCGUCGCCUGGCUUAAAGCAGAGCUGAUCCUGUUUUAUCGGUUAAUUCUUGGUGCAGGCGCAAGCUCCGGGCUCACGUACAACACUGGUCACGCCUCGUGCGCGGCUGUGU
Molecule: ribosomal RNA, 795 nt
Filed under: Niphargus sp. 4 SER-2013
Lineage: Eukaryota; Metazoa; Arthropoda; Malacostraca; Amphipoda; Niphargidae
Description: partial 28S ribosomal RNA
Source: RNAcentral